GCUUGGACUGCUUUUGAAGAAAACAUUACGCUGAUUCGUGUCAAGGUGGCGUGUUCCUACGGGGCUUCGUCGCGGUAUCCAAAACUAAGGCUAUAACAGAAUGCGUAUGUGUUUUGUCAUUUUCGGUAAAAGAUCCUAGCCAUGAAGAGAUAAGAUUUAAAGCUUUACCAUAACGACAGCUUACUCGAACGAUCAAGGCAUUCCUUAAAAUGACACGAGGCAGAGCUAUCUUCGAGUAAUUUACUUGGUAUCAGUUGGAAAAUCUUGGCAUUUUCUUCGAGUCAUCCUCUUGGCGGCUUCGGCGAGUGGAUUGGAGACUCAUUCAUUUUUCAUCGUGCAACUUUCGUGUGGAACAACGUUCGAAGAUUUCCGCACGAGUUUAUCUUAAGAGAGCAAACCUCACGAAAAGAGAAGAACCCAGAAGUUACAAGAUUGUCGGAUCAGACGGAUUAUAAAUUCCUUUAUAAAGUGCACUCACAUCGAAGGGGCAACAUAGUCAAGCGUUGCAAGAAACGUGUGUUGACGAACACACGUUUCACAACUUCAUCAAAUAAGACUGAAAUAGAGUAGUGAAAUAGAUGGUAAGCUGGUAGGAUAGUGGUUGUAGGCAAAAAAAAUAUAAAACUACAUCUACGAAGAAAUUUUAAGAAUAUUUUGGGGAAACCCAUGAAGCAAAUAUUCUUGGGAUACUCGUCUCUGCCACUCGUAUUUUCUUUCACGUUUAUCGAUGAAAGAAGUACAAGUGGUAGGGAGGGGGUGUCACCAAUUCGCAGUUGUCAUUUGUUGGACUCCUAUCUAAACAUUAAAAUACCUUAAAGGAGCAAUGUCUCACAUGGUAUGAUUCUCUCUGAAAAAUUGCCGUUAUUACUAAUUUUUUUUCUUCAAGAUCCAUUUGAAAGCUAAAAAUAACCUAACGCCACAAUUGCGCAAUAAGAAAAUUUGGAAAUUUUACUUGUAAAUCUCCGUUCGAUCAGACAUUGGAUCUAUGACGGUCUUUUGUAUUUUGUUCCCAUAAUUGCAUAAGUAAGGCCAAAUAUUUCCACUUUUGUCCGUUUUACUGCAAAGAGAAGCAUAAAAUCUAAGACUGUCAAGUGCCUAAUUCCAGCCUUGGAUUAACUGUACCAGGAAAUAUUAAAAAG
Molecule: long non-coding RNA, 1139 nt
Organism: Pocillopora damicornis (cauliflower coral)
Lineage: Eukaryota; Metazoa; Cnidaria; Anthozoa; Scleractinia; Pocilloporidae
Source: RefSeq, a predicted model, not a curated record